UACGUAGGGUGCAGGCGUUAAUCGGAAUUACUGGGCGUAAAGCGUGCGCAGGCGGUUUGCUAAGACAGGUGUGAAAUCCCCGGGCUUAACCUGGGAACUGCGCUUGUUACUGGCAAGCUGGAGUGUGGCAGAGGAGACUGGAAUUCCUGGUGUAGCAGUGAAAUGCGUAGAUAUCAGGAGGAAUACCGAUGGCGAAGGCAGGUCUCUGGGCUGACACUGACGCUCAUGCACGAAAGCGUGGGGAGCAAACAGG
Molecule: ribosomal RNA, 253 nt
Filed under: uncultured bacterium
Lineage: Bacteria
Description: partial 16S ribosomal RNA
Rfam family: Bacterial small subunit ribosomal RNA
Source: RNAcentral